GGGGCGGGGUGUGGACUUUGCGAGCCUUGAGGCUGUCGUGUUGAUGUUGUAACGGUGAAUACAUGACCCUGUGCGUUUGUCAAAACCCACAGGACUGAACACCAACCUAAGUGUGCAACUUGUAAAGACUUUAGCAGGCGGAGGACCCCAGGCGGGAAUGCCGCCGUGAAAGGAGGAGCCCCUGCCUCAGCGUGAGCGCAGCGCCUCAGGGAGGGCGCUGACCAUAGUCACCGGAGAAAAUGAAACGCUCAGGUGUAAAUGGAAAAAAAAGUGUACAGGAUCCACGUAAGAAAAACUGCAAAAUUUUGAUGACUGAAAUCAAAGAUCUGAAUCAGGGGACCGAUAGUCCGUGUUUGCUGAUAGGAUCUCAGUAUUGGUGAGGUGUCAUUUCUUCUGGGCCUGUGGAUUCAGCGAGGUCCCAACCAAAGCCCGGCUGUGCGUGAGGACCUCCACCCCCAAAGCACAGGACGGAAGGGAGGGGAGUGAUUUUACAGCAGAGAAGCCUGCCGAACACAGCUCAGCCAUGUGAUCAAGGCCAGCGUCAACAGCCAUAAAUUAAGUUGACACGAGGCACCCUGGAUGUGGCAGGAUGAAAGGGGGCCUUUAUAUCUGUUUUCUUCAUCCCCCAAACCCGUAAUCCCCAUCAAAUCCUGAAAAAAGCAACAGACCAGUUUCUACAUCCCACAAAAUACCUGCCCAGUCUUCCUCAAAACUGUGCAGGUCAUCCAACAGUCUGAGGGCCUGCCAGAGCCCAGAGGAGCCUGAGGAGACGGGACUGUCGUGUGGGGGCUGGGGGGGCCUGGAGCAGGAGAAGGACAUUAGCUGAAAAGUAGGGAAAUCUAAAGUACAGCCUUUAGUGAGUAAUAACACGUCAGUAUCGCUUCACUGAUUGUAGCACAGGUGCCACAUGAGUGCACGGUGUUGAUAACGGGAACUCUGGGCACACAGGCACCCUGUCUGCAUGACCAGUACUCGUGUAAACCCAACACUGCUUUAGAAAGCACAGCCUGCGCGCUUUUGCAGCUGGACAGGCCAGAGUUAGUGCUCGCUCUCCUCCUCCCUGACAGUGUCCCUGGGGGAUCUGGGGCCCCUCCUCACCGGCCCAGGCUCCGAUAGACGCUUGGGCGAGGGGAGCCCGUCCUGAGGGAGCUCUCUGCAGACAAGGAAUGACACUAAGAUGGGGUCUCUGAGGGUCUCAACAGGCAGAGAACGUGCUACACGUGGGACUAAGACCACGGGCAGCCUGCCGUUCGUAUAAGCAGGAGAGCCCAGACAUGAAAAACGCGCGAGCCGCAGUCUGCUCGGUGGCCAAACCAAAUCCCAGACUGAGGGGUAAACAACAGACAUCUGUCUACUCAGAGCCCAGGGGGCUGGAAGUCAGAGGUCGUGGAGCCAGCAUGCCCGGGCCCUGCUGCAGGCGUGUGGCCUCUGCAGCAUGCACGGGCUCUCUCUGAUGUGCUCUCGGAGAACCAGCUCUGGCGUCUCCUGUAGCAGACACUGACCCCACCAGACCAGCCCCACCCUCAUCCAACCCCAGAGACCUCCCAAGGCCUGUCUCCAAAUGCCGAUGCACUGGGGUCAGGGUUCCGCGUGUGAAUUUGGGGAGGAGGACCCCAGCGUUCUGUCCAUGACAAGAAGCCUGGCUUGAAUCACGAUGACAGAAAGCUGCAGAGCCCCAGCCAGCUUCCUGGUCUGAGCUGGUCUGUAGAUCCAACGCCCCUGUGAUGAGGGCGAGGCUGUGUCCUUGAGGAAGGGUCUUGUCACCAGAAACAUCCUGUCACCCUUCCUCCUGGCCUUCCCUGGAGGCACCGAAGGGACACUGACCAGCGUCUGAGGAAGAGGAAGCAGAAACCGCAUGCUUUCCAGGGUCCCCAACCCACCAGCGGGACCACCAGUCAGAGCAGGGGCUUGCGGUGAUCAGGUGAUCGGCGGUGUUUGGGCCACGCCCAUCUGACAGUGGGGCCAUUGCACCCUGAACCCAGCGGUGGUUGCCCCUGUCACAGAUGGAUCGCUGCAGCAGACACACAGCUGGCAGCGCACCGGCCCCCAGCCCAUGGAGUCGGCGCCGCUGCUGUGGGAAGGCUUCCUCCUCCUCCUCCUCCUCCUCCUCCUCCUCCCAGGGCAGUGGACCACAGCAGGAACGCCUCCCAAAGGCACUGCGGGGGUUGGCAUCACAAGGACUCAGGGCCCAGGAGGGGACUCCCACCACGUCCCCAUUCAGUUCUCCUUGGGGGGCCAGUGCAGGAGACAGAGGGCCUGGGGACCGCCAGCCAACAAUCACAGACUUAACCGGUGGUGACUCCCGCUGCAGCCGUGUUCCUGACGGGCCUUUGUGGCUGAAGCAGAUCCCAGCAGGCCUUCCCUUGUGGCUCAGAUGGUAAAGAAUCUGCCUGCAAUGACGGAGACCCAGGUCCAGUCCCUGUGUCGGGAAGAUCCCCUGGAGAAGGGGAUGGCAGUCCACUGCAGUAGUCUUGCCUAGAGAACUCCACGGACAGAGAAGCCUUGAAGGCUGCAGUCCGUGGGGUCGCAAAGAGUCAGACACGACUGAGCGACUAACACUCUCUUUUUCACUUCUAACUUAUGUUAACAAUAGUUGACCUUACAUCUUGGUGUUUGUGUUAUUAACACUCAACACGCUCUGAGAGUGCAACAUUCUUACAGAGGAUGUGUUUUCCAGUUGGGCUCCCCAGGUGUCGCUAAAGAACCCACGUGCCAAUGCAGGAGACCCAGGAGGCAUGGGUUCAAUCCCUGGGCGGGGAAGAUCCCUUGCAGGAGUGUAUGGGUAUUCAGUUUGAGUCAGCAUCACCCAAAGAUGGAUCCAGUGACGUGAAGCAUCCCUCCACCUCUUUUUGGCCAGACACGUGCAUCAUAUUAAGCAGAAGCAUGAUUUUGCCUGUUUUUAUUUGGAAGUUAAGCAUGGUUUAAAGUAGAAGUGUGUAUGCAUGCAGAGUUGCUAAGGAGCCUCUGCUGGGUGUUCUGUUGUUCAGCUGGGAAUCCAUUUCCCAGGAUCCCCUUUCCCAUAUGGUUCAGGUCAGAGUUGAGCAAGAGAGGAGUUUGUGUGAAGCCGGAAAGGCAGGAGCGGGCAGUGGCUGCCACUCUCUGAAGGGUUGUCGUAGCCAUGCGUGGUCUCCAACAGAGCAGCCGUGGCCAGCAGAUGCUGGCUGCCCUCUCGCCCACCCCUGCCCCCUGCCUUUCACCCACCUGCUGC
Molecule: long non-coding RNA, 3208 nt
Organism: Bos taurus (domestic cattle)
Lineage: Eukaryota; Metazoa; Chordata; Mammalia; Artiodactyla; Bovidae
Source: Ensembl